Molecule: non-coding RNA, 586 nt
Organism: Nicotiana tabacum (common tobacco)
Lineage: Eukaryota; Viridiplantae; Streptophyta; Magnoliopsida; Solanales; Solanaceae
Source: RefSeq, a predicted model, not a curated record
CCAAGUCUAUGAGUCAUCGUGUCAGAAUUUUGCUACAGAUUUACAGAGGGUCCAGGUUUGCAAUUGUGAACAAAUCAUUACAUUUGCACUGAAAGCAGAGAUGUGGGAUUGCUCGCAUUUUCGAUGGAUUCUUUACAUUCGCGAACCCCAUGUCACAUUUGCGACAUCUGCGCCUGGACAAAAAGCUGAGAAAACGGGAUUUAGCUCAUUUUUCACACUCUCAACUCUAAAUGCCCUAGAGGUGAUUUUUCCAAGUGAUCUUCUUCCUAAGUACAUUGAUCAAUUUUCAUUAGAUUCAGUUGGUUCGGAGGCGAAUUUUAGAGGAAAGGCCCCGGUUGAGCUUUGAUUUGCUUGCGGAGCGAGAUUUUAGAGUCGGUCCAAGCGGCGAUCAGUAUAUUGCUCGGAUUGAUUGGAUGAUGGAGACUUGAGGUUUAGCUGCUCGAUGUUCGCAGCCCUGAAGUCCCCUUCUACAUUAUUCUAGCUGUUUAUUUCACUUCAGAUAGUUAUACUUUCAUUUAGAUAAUUAUUUGUAUUAUUCUAGUCGCUCGUGUACUUGUGACACUAGUUCAGGGAUUGUAUCUAGAUA